GCGAACGCAGCGAAACUGAAACAUCUAAGUAGCUGCAGGAAAAGAAAUCAACCGAGAUUCCCAAAGUAGUGGCGAGCGAAAUGGGAAGAGCCUGUAUGUGAUAGUCAACUGGUUAGUGGAACGGAAUGGAAAGUCCGGCGAUAGAGGGUGAUAGCCCCGUACACGAAAACUGGUUGGUGGUACUGAGCAUACGACAAGUAGGGCGGGGCACGAGAAACCUUGUCUGAACAUGGGGGGACCAUCCUCCAAGGCUAAAUACUCGUAAUCGACCGAUAGUGAACCAGUACCGUGAGGGAAAGGCGAAAAGAACCCCGGGAGGGGAGUGAAAUAGAACCUGAAACCGUGUGCAUACAAACAGUGGGAGCGGACUUGUUCCGUGACUGCGUACCUUUUGUAUAAUGGGUCAGCGACUUACGUUCAGUAGCGAGCUUAACCGAGUAGGGGAGGCGUAGGGAAAC
Molecule: ribosomal RNA, 458 nt
Filed under: uncultured bacterium
Lineage: Bacteria
Description: bacterial LSU rRNA
Rfam family: Bacterial large subunit ribosomal RNA
Source: RNAcentral